CACAGGAAAUUGACAGAUGGCAGAAGCUUCUCAUACUCUUCAAAAAUCUCUCGCAGUGUCACUCUCUCUCUCUAGAACCUUCCUUCUCUCAUCCCUUAAAUUCCUUAUUCCCUAAGCCCCAAGUAAACCCUUGCUUAAUUCACACAUAGUAAUCUACCAAACUCUUUCUCACACACUCUCUCGCAUAGCAGAGAGAUACAGUUUCCAAUUAAGGAAAAUGAAGGGAGGUACAGUGAAAGAGGAACAAACAUUCGCAUUUGCGGCUGCUGCUCCUGCUUCACCUUCAUCCUCAACUUCCAACCUCUUCCCGCAACCAAGGGAAGGCUUGCACGAUGUGGGUCCACCUCCGUUUCUCACCAAAACCUUCGACGUGGUCGAAGACCCUUCCACCAACGACAUCGUUUCCUGGAGCAGAGCACGCAACAGUUUCGUCGUUUGGGACUCUCACAAGUUCUCCACCACCAUCUUGCCUCGUUACUUCAAGCACAACAAUUUCUCCAGCUUCGUCCGACAACUCAACACCUAUGGUUUUAGAAAAGUUGAUCCUGACAAAUGGGAAUUUGCGAACGAAGGUUUUCUGGCGGGACAGAGGCACUUGUUGAAGACGAUCAAGAGAAGGAGGCACGUAACACAGAUGCAGUCACACGAGGGAGGAAGUGGAGCUUGCGUUGAAUUGGGGGAGUUUGGAUUGGAAGGUGAGAUUGAGAGGUUGAGGAGAGACAGGACAGUUUUGAUGGCUGAAAUUGUGAAGUUGAGGCAACAACAGCACAAUUCAAGGGAGCAAUUGUUGUCCAUGGAGAGCAGAUUGCAAGUCAGCGAGAAGAAACAUCAGCAGAUGAUGACUUUUCUAGCUAAGGCACUCAACAAUCAGACUUUUAUUCAGCAGUUCCUUCACAGGAACGCUCAGAAGAUAGAGUUGCAAGGUGGUAGAAGAAAGAGGAGAUUAACUGCUUCCCCAAGCGUGGAGAAUUUGCAGCAAGAUCCUGUGAUUGAUGCGGCAUUGCCUGUUGAAGAAGAAUCCACUAAUAUUGAGUCGCACAUGGAGUCUCUUCUCUCAGCUGUUUGUGACGAUGAUCCAUUAGAAUCGAGCUCUGAAUUAGAAGACCCGAUUUUAGGUUCAGUUCCUACAACUGGUGGUGGUAGUGAUUUGGGGGUGGUAAGUGAUGCAAUCUGGGAGGAUUUACUGAACCAAGACUUGGUUGCUGCGAACCAUGAGGAGGAAGUUGUGAUUGGUGAUUUUUCACAAGUUGAUGUUCCUGUGGAGGAUUUGGUUGCUGAUCCUGAUGAGUGGAGUGAGGAUUUGCAGAACCUUGUGGAUCAUAUGGGUUAUCUUGCGUCCAAACCCUAGUUGACUAUGACAAUUUUUAUCAUCUAGGAGUUCAGAUAAACCAUCCCCCCUAGAACCAUUGUGCAGGGAAGGUGGUUGCUGCUGAAGAGGUCCUGAGAUAUUGCUCUUUGUCUGCUGUAUCCUUUGUAAACAGACAUGUGUUUUGUGAAUAGCUGAGUAUUUCUUGUACCAGUGAUGAUGAUACUGUUUUUACUAUGUUGGUGCCCCCUUUGGAUAACUACAUUGUACGUUUUCUUUUGCAGGGUAGGUUAAAACAGAUGUCGAAGGGGCCUAUUGAUUGGGAAAAGAUGUAGUCAUAAUCUAACGGUAAUUUGUUGAAUUGUCAAAUUUUCAGUGUGGAGAGACUGUGAAGUAAGAUCAUUGACGGAUUCCAAAGAAGAAUAUGAUUAACAAUUCCUUUACUCAUCAGCUAUAGCUCACCUUCUCCAUCAGUACACGCUGAAUAAAGGAAAUAAGCUUUCUUCCUGUUUCAUCUUUUAUUUUAUUCUAUAUUUUUAUGUUGCUUUUCAAAUCAUACCAAAUACACUAGAUCACUCA
Molecule: non-coding RNA, 1885 nt
Organism: Vigna umbellata (rice bean)
Lineage: Eukaryota; Viridiplantae; Streptophyta; Magnoliopsida; Fabales; Fabaceae
Source: RefSeq, a predicted model, not a curated record